This 465-nucleotide ribosomal RNA is filed under the name uncultured bacterium. Its description in RNAcentral is "partial 16S ribosomal RNA". It matches the Rfam family "Bacterial small subunit ribosomal RNA", at positions 339 to 795 of the family's 1533-position model. The record is from RNAcentral.
CUACGGGAGGCUGCAGUGGGGAAUAUUGCACAAUGGGCGCAAGCCUGAUGCAGCCAUGCCGCGUGUAUGAAGAAGGCCUUCGGGUUGUAAAGUACUUUCAGCGGGGAGGAAGGGAGUAAAGUUAAUACCUUUGCUCAUUGACGUUACCCGCAGAAGAAGCACCGGCUAACUCCGUGGCCAGCAGCCGCGGUAAUACGGAGGGUGCAAGCGUUAAUCGGAAUUACUGGGCGUAAAGCGCACGCAGGCGGUUUGUUAAGUCAGGUGUGAAAUCCCCGGGCUCAACCUGGGAACUGCAUCUGAUACUGGCAAGCUUGAGUCUCGUAGAGGGGGGUAGAAUUCCAGGUGUAGCGGUGAAAUGCGUAGAGAUCUGGAGGAAUACCGGUGGCGAAGGCGGCCCCCUGGAUGAAGACUGACGCUCAGGUGCGAAAGCGUGGGGAGCAAACAGGAUUAGAUACCCCCGUAGUC